RNAcentral lists this long non-coding RNA (1936 nucleotides) under Elaeis guineensis (African oil palm). RNAcentral's name for it is "long non-coding RNA (EGUI_LNC024624)". The record is from RNAcentral. Lineage: Eukaryota; Viridiplantae; Streptophyta; Magnoliopsida; Arecales; Arecaceae.
GUGGCCUUGAUGUAAAUCAAAGAUGAGGUCAAAUUUUAAGACUGAAUAUAACAUUCCCACUAUCAUGUGAUCCUAUUUUAGUCAGAUACAAGAUCUCUGAUGCAAAGUAGGCAUUUUGAGAAGACCUCGAAUUAGGCACAUGAUGGUGACUAAACUGAGAUCUAUAUCAUAUUUAUAAUUAAAUACAGGACAUAAUGCUCAUUGUUGGAGAUAUUACAUUAUAGCACAUGUUUCAUAUCAUGUGCGCUAAGUGACCAUGAGGAAAAUGAGUAAAAAUCAUGCAUCCUCACUAUGUGAGUUCUUUGAGGAAAAGAAAAAUAUUAUUUUAUCUUUUUUAUGUCUUUUGUCACUUUUGACUAUGUUUUGAUAUAAUGGGCUAAUGUCUGCUACCUUAGUAUGUUUUCGAUGGUGAUGAAAUAAUUUAGUCUUACGAGACAUCUAGGAAAGUGAUUGUUGAAAAUUGAAAGACAUAAGGGCAAAAAGAAAGACUGUUUAGAGUAUGUUGAUUGUGCAUUCAUUGGUCGACCAAUUAGAUCAUUUAAUAUUAGUUAUGAUAUAAUUAUGAAUACAUAGGCAUGAUUAAGGAUUAAACAUGAUCUUUCGGAAUUAUAUUUUUUUUUAAUCUAACGUAAUUAAACAUGUCUAGGGCAUAAUAAAAUUUUAUUUUAAAGGGGUAGUAGCCACUAUGCUAACCCUAACAAGUAUAUAGCAAGAGCUCUCAAUUGCAGGUUUGCAUGUGGGUCAUACGACUUAUUUGCUUGUAUAAAAUCAUAGAGAUUAUGGGUAUGUUUAUCCAUCAUGUGCGAGUGAGAGAUGUUAGAUAUAAAUUGGGUUGGGUGCCCAUGGUGGGCAAAAUCUGACCCAUGUCUAUUUGAAAAUGGAUGAGAGGCGGUGGUUAUUAGAUGUGUGCCCUAGAAGUCAAUUGAAUCGACACAUUAAUUCUUUUUAGAAUAUAAUUUUAUAUUUGAUCUAAUUAAUUAGGAUAGUUAAUUUCAUUCAUGUAGUGUAUAUAUCCAUGAAUCAUCGAGAAAAUUAAUAAGAUGAUAGCACAUAUUCUCAAAAGUUAAAAAUUUAAGGCAUGUGUCAUUGAUAGUUAAUUUUUAAAUUACUUCUAAUCGAAGGAUCAUUAUAGAGACGGUGAAUGAUCCGGUAAGAUUGGUACAUGGAUCGCUUUCCUUAGGAUAGAUGAGUUUUGAGUCUAUAGUACGACGACAUUGGAGCAAGAGUGGAGGUGGUUGUUAGAGAAUAAUGAUACCAAGUAUGAUCAACACGAGAAGUCACUUAGAUGUCUACUCACUCAUCAGUGACAUUCUCGAUGCUAUAAUUGUGUGAGUGGUUCUUAAACCUAUGGUGCAUUGACUGUUCACAAUGAGAUUGCUAUAGUUUGAUUGUACCAUAACUUGAUCUUCGAGCCAUACAAAAUCUCAAGGUAUAUGUUGACUGUAGUAGGUUCAUUGUAGGAAUAGGAUGUACACUAAGAUAGGAUCUAUUGACUUUAGUAGUAAAAGAGUAGUCUUAUGUAAUUUAUGAGAUUGAGUUCGAAAGAUCUUGGUCAGGACAGUAUGAAUGAUGAAAAAAAAAUUUAUCAGAUUUCAUAAAUGAACUCAAGUUGAAUUAAUCUUACAUAUGACAGACAAUAAAAUUUGAUGAGUUUUUCAUGAUCUCUAUCUUGUCAAAACUUACAAUAGAAGAACUGAAUCACACAGUAACUACACCUAGAGGUUCAUCCUUCUAUUCUGUUGGAUUAUCACUACAUAUUGCUAGACAUCACUGAUGGAUUAUGAGAUCAAUAAAAAUUAUUUGAUAGUCAAGAAUUCUUAAUUAGUGAGUUAAAAUUAUUCUAAUCCAUUGAAAGGAGUUUCAAUGAUAUUUUGAUGGAGAUCAAAAUAUUUCUCACUAUCAGACAGAAUAGAAUCUAUGGGAUCACACAUAAAAA